Molecule: unclassified non-coding RNA, 92 nt
Filed under: Pseudomonas sp. NFACC39-1
Lineage: Bacteria; Pseudomonadati; Pseudomonadota; Gammaproteobacteria; Pseudomonadales; Pseudomonadaceae
Source: RNAcentral
GCUGACGAGUGGAACGAGGCUGCGAUCUUUUGAUCUUCCGCUCUAGACUCAAUGGGGAAUGGAAAGAUCGCAGCCUCGUUUCACUCGUCAGC